RNAcentral lists this small nuclear RNA (191 nucleotides) under Carlito syrichta (Philippine tarsier). Its description in RNAcentral is "U2 spliceosomal RNA (ENSTSYG00000019928.2)". It matches the Rfam family "U2 spliceosomal RNA". Rfam says of the family: U2 is a small nuclear RNA (snRNA) component of the spliceosome (involved in pre-mRNA splicing). Complementary binding between U2 snRNA (in an area lying towards the 5' end but 3' to hairpin I) and the branchpoint sequence (BPS) of the intron results the bulging out of an unpaired adenosine, on the BPS, which initiates a nucleophilic attack at the intronic 5' splice site, thus starting the first of two transesterification reactions that mediate splicing. Lineage: Eukaryota; Metazoa; Chordata; Mammalia; Primates; Tarsiidae. The record is from Rfam by way of RNAcentral.
AUUAUUUCUCAGUCUUUUGGCUAAGAUCAAGCAUAGUAUCUGUUCUUAUCAGUUUAAUAUCUGAUAUGUCCUCUAUUUGAGAAUGCAAUAUUAAAGGGAUUUUUGGAACUCAGGGACAGAAAAGAUACUUGUCUUAUCCAUGGCAUAUGUAAUUCUAAUACAACAGUAUUUGCAGAAAUGGUAUACCCUCA